RNAcentral lists this long non-coding RNA (205 nucleotides) under Phoenix dactylifera (date palm). Its description in RNAcentral is "long non-coding RNA (PDAC_LNC018885)". Lineage: Eukaryota; Viridiplantae; Streptophyta; Magnoliopsida; Arecales; Arecaceae. The record is from RNAcentral.
GUUCUUGAAACAGGGGAGACGAAAGCCAUGGAUGCGAUGUGGCUUGAAUUGAAGAGCUGAGUGCUGGGUUUGUUCCAAUACUGAGGAAAAUGAAUGUUGCCACGGUUGGUUGGAGGACUUAAACAUUUGGAAGUUGAUACCAAACGGAUACUAGGUUUGAGAAGCAAUUGGAUUGCUUUGGGACUUUCGAGACGGCACAGGGACA